AGUGAACGCUGGCGGUAGGCCUAACACGUGCAAGUCGAACGGCAGCACAGUAAGAGCUUGCUCUUACGGGUGGCGAGUGGCGGACGGGUGAGGAAUACAUCGGAAUCUACUUUUUCGUGGGGGAUAACGUAGGGAAACUUACGCUAAUACCGCAUACGACCUACGGGUGAAAGCAGGGGAUCUUCGGACCUUGCGCGAUUGAAUGAGCCGAUGUCGGAUUAGCUAGUUGGCGGGGUAAAGGCCCACCAAGGCGACGAUCCGUAGCUGGUCUGAGAGGAUGAUCAGCCACACUGGAACUGAGACACGGUCCAGACUCCUACGGGAGGCAGCAGUGGGGAAUAUUGGACAAUGGGCGCAAGCCUGAUCCAGCCAUACCGCGUGGGUGAAGAAGGCCUUGGGGUUGUAAAGCCCUUUUGUUGGGAAAGAAAAGCAGCAGGUUAAUACCCCGCUGUUCUGACGGUACCCAAAGAAUAAGCACCGGCUAACUUCGUG
This 492-nucleotide ribosomal RNA is filed under the name uncultured bacterium. RNAcentral describes it as "partial 16S ribosomal RNA". It matches the Rfam family "Bacterial small subunit ribosomal RNA", at positions 29 to 507 of the family's 1533-position model. The record is from RNAcentral.